This is a long non-coding RNA of Jaculus jaculus (lesser Egyptian jerboa), 360 nucleotides long. RefSeq lists it as uncharacterized. Lineage: Eukaryota; Metazoa; Chordata; Mammalia; Rodentia; Dipodidae. The transcript has 2 exons. The record is from RefSeq and is a predicted model, not a curated record.
AGGAAUCAUAAAGAAAAAAAAAAAAAGAAGAAGUUGGGAAAAUUUCUCAGCAGAUGCAUCAUAUUUAUAGGAUGCUGAUCUCCUCAGUAUUUCUCCAAGCUACUUCCCUAAACAGGAGGACAUCUUUGAAAAAUUAAAGCACCACAGAAAUCAUAAAAUUAUGGGCUACCUUACUUAUGCCUAUGCAAAAAAAAAAAAAAAUGUGAUGUUAAAUUUUCCUACUGACCACAGAAUGAAAUAUCAUUAACAUUAUUUUGAGGAGAAUUGCAACAGAGGGCAAGAGGUGCUAGAACUCCAAAUUGUUGUCUUCUUUGUAUUACAUGAAUAGACAAUGAAAAUAAAAUGUUUAUAUUAAAAUAA